This 468-nucleotide ribosomal RNA is filed under the name uncultured bacterium. RNAcentral describes it as "partial 16S ribosomal RNA". It matches the Rfam family "Bacterial small subunit ribosomal RNA", at positions 28 to 507 of the family's 1533-position model. The record is from RNAcentral.
GACGAACGCUGGCGGCGUGCUUAACACAUGCAAGUCGAACGGACCGACCGUGCUUUGUUGGGGUGCUCGAGUGGCGAAAGGGUGAGUUACCCUUGAGUACCCUGUCCUUGACUUUGGGAUAACUUCAUGCAACUGGGGCUAAUACCGGCUAGGAGCUCCUGCUGCAUGGUGGGGGUUGGUAGGUUUCGGCGGUUGGGGAUGGACUCGCGUCUUAUCGGCUUGUUGCUGGGGUAGUGGCUUACCAAGGCUUUGACGGGUAGCCGGCCUGCGCGGGUGACCGGCCACAUUGGGACUGAGAUACGGCCCAGACUCCUACGGGAGGCAGCAGUGGGGAAUAUUGCACAAUGGGCGGAAGCCUGAUGCAGCAACGCCGCGUGCGGGAUGACGGCCUUCGGGUUGUAAACCGCUUUCGCCUGUGACGAAGCGUGAGUGACGGUAAUGGGUAAAGAAGCACCGGCUAACUACGUG